Molecule: ribosomal RNA, 453 nt
Filed under: uncultured organism
Description: partial 16S ribosomal RNA
Rfam family: Bacterial small subunit ribosomal RNA
Source: RNAcentral
UACACUCCUGCGGGAGGCAGCAGUGGGGAAUAUUGGACAAUGGGCGCAAGCCUGAUCCAGCCAUGCCGCGUGAGUGAUGAAGGCCCUAGGGUUGUAAAGCUCUUUCACCGGUGAAGAUAAUGACGGUAACCGGAGAAGAAGCCCCGGCUAACUUCGUGCCAGCAGCCGCGGUAAUACGAAGGGGGCUAGCGUUGUUCGGAUUUACUGGGCGUAAAGCGCACGUAGGCGGACUAUUAAGUCAGGGGUGAAAUCCCGGGGCUCAACCCCGGAACUGCCUUUGAUACUGGUAGUCUUGAGUUCGAGAGAGGUGAGUGGAAUUCCGAGUGUAGAGGUGAAAUUCGUAGAUAUUCGGAGGAACACCAGUGGCGAAGGCGGCUCACUGGCUCGAUACUGACGCUGAGGUGCGAAAGCGUGGGGAGCAAACAGGAUUAGAUACCCGAGUAGUCCCAUGGU